RNAcentral lists this ribosomal RNA (468 nucleotides) under uncultured bacterium. Its description in RNAcentral is "partial 16S ribosomal RNA". It matches the Rfam family "Bacterial small subunit ribosomal RNA", at positions 28 to 507 of the family's 1533-position model. The record is from RNAcentral.
GACGAACGCUGGCGGCGUGCUUAACACAUGCAAGUCGAACGGCAAGGCCCUGCUUUUGUUGGGUGCUCGAGUGGCGAACGGGUGAGUAACACGUGAGUAACCUGCCCUUGACUUUGGGAUAACUUCAGGAAACUGGGGCUAAUACCGGAUAGGAGCUCCUGCUGCAUGGUGGGGGUUGGAAAGUUUCGGCGGUUGGGGAUGGACUCGCGGCUUAUCAGCUUGUUGGUGGGGGAGUGGCUUACCAAGGCUUUGACGGGUAGCCGGCCUGAGAGGGUGACCGGCGACAUUGGGACUGAGAUACGGCCCAGACUCCUACGGGAGGCAGCAGUGGGGAAUAUUGCACAAUGGGCGGAAGCCUGAUGCAGCAACGCCGCGUGCGGGAUGACGGCCUUCGGGUUGUAAACCGCUUUCGCCUGUGACGAAGCGUGAGUGACGGUAAUGGGUAAAGAAGCACCGGCUAACUACGUG